Molecule: ribosomal RNA, 380 nt
Filed under: uncultured eukaryote
Lineage: Eukaryota
Description: partial 18S ribosomal RNA
Rfam family: Eukaryotic small subunit ribosomal RNA
Source: RNAcentral
CAAUAGCGUAUAUUAAAGUUGUUGCGGUUAAAAAGCUCGUAGUUGGAUUUCUGUUGGGAACGACCGGUCCGCCCAUUGGGUGUGUAUCUGGCUUGUUCUCGGCAUCUUCUUGGUGAACGUUGCUGCACUUGACUGUGUGGAGCGCUACCCAGGACUUUUACUUUGAGGAAAUUAGAGUGUUUCAAGCAGGCAUAUGCCUUGAAUACAUUAGCAUGGAAUAAUAAGAUAGGACCUCGGUUCUAUUUUGUUGGUUUCUAGAGCUGAGGUAAUGAUUAAUAGGGAUAGUUGGGGGCAUUCGUAUUUAACCGUCAGAGGUGAAAUUCUUGGAUUUGUUAAAGACGGACUACUGCGAAAGCAUUUGCCAAGGAUGUUUUCAUUGA